Molecule: non-coding RNA, 72 nt
Organism: Podarcis lilfordi (Lilford's wall lizard)
Lineage: Eukaryota; Metazoa; Chordata; Lepidosauria; Squamata; Lacertidae
Source: the annotation of a GenBank genome assembly
AGGGGUGUAGCUCAUUGGUAGAGCAUCUGCUUUGCAUGCAGAAGGUCUCAGGUACAAUCCUGAUCAUCUCCA